UUUCUUGAAAACUAAAAACCUAUAUAUUAUAAUUAAGAUGCUAAAUUAAGCUAUGGCAAUAAAUCUUAUUAAAAAUAGAGGCAGUGGACCCGGGGGCAGUACUCGGCACCUCCACCAGAAUAAAGCAAUGUUUUUAUGGGGGUGAAAAAGUUUCGACACACCUAGUAAAAUAAUAAAUUUUGCUCGAUAUGAUUCCGUCGUUUUAGGCAAUGUUUAAAUAAAGUAUUGUUUAAAUGGGUCAAAAAGAAGAAAUGCAAACGAUAACGAGCUUUCUUCAGAUGUUGGUUUACCUAAGCUUGCAUUAGCAGCUUAAUAGACUAGCAUACUGAGCGGUUAAAUGGGCUUACCGAGCAACAGAAAAGCCCUAGU
Molecule: transfer-messenger RNA, 369 nt
Filed under: Orientia chuto str. Dubai
Lineage: Bacteria; Pseudomonadati; Pseudomonadota; Alphaproteobacteria; Rickettsiales; Rickettsiaceae
Description: Orientia chuto str. Fuller Alphaproteobacteria transfer-messenger RNA
Rfam family: Alphaproteobacteria transfer-messenger RNA
About the family: Bacterial tmRNA, also known as 10Sa RNA or SsrA, is named for its dual tRNA and mRNA-like properties. Its role is to liberate the mRNA from a stalled ribosome.
Source: Rfam by way of RNAcentral